Small nucleolar RNA from Tachyglossus aculeatus (Australian echidna), 138 nucleotides. The record is from RefSeq and is a predicted model, not a curated record. NCBI's taxonomy places the organism in Eukaryota, Metazoa, Chordata, Mammalia, Monotremata, Tachyglossidae.
UCUCUCUCAGGGUCCUAUCUAGAGAGUUUCCAGUACUCUACCAGUCACGACUACGGGAGGGAGAGUCAAGCAGAUGCAUACCCAUUCCAUUCCUAGCUUGGGCAUUGGCUAGUGAGUGGAAGGCAAUCUACUACAAGU